Molecule: long non-coding RNA, 681 nt
Filed under: Vulpes vulpes (red fox)
Lineage: Eukaryota; Metazoa; Chordata; Mammalia; Carnivora; Canidae
Description: lncRNA (ENSVVUG00000014113.1)
Source: RNAcentral
CAAUAGAAAUAGUUGGAAUGUGAGUGCUUUGUGUUUGCAUGUUUGACAGGUUGAAAGAAGGAAGAGACACCUUUGCUCUGGGUCCUUGAAGUUCCUUGGAGAGGGCAGGACCAAGAGCAUCUCAGUGACAAACAUAAUGGACUGAAAUCCAGGGUCCCUCUGCAAUUUUCCAGCACUGUAUUGGUUCUAAUUGACUUCUAAGACCAGAUUAGAUGAUUAAAGCUGAAAUCUCUUUACCUUGAAGAAGAGUCAAGAACCACAACAAUCAAUCAGUUAAUCAAUCAAUUGAUCUAAUUAAGCAUCAUCUCUUUCCAUUGGAAAAUUUGUAGUAGCCCCCAGAUAGACCUUUAAAAAAAUCUUUCUAGAUAAUUUUCUGAUUUGUCUGAAUUCAGGAUGUUUUAGAAACCUCAGUCUGGGAGAAACAGUGAUUUGUGCUGUGCAAUGACAAGGGAAUUCUGAGAGAUUGUAUUAGAUCAGGAUGGUGAUACUGGUUCAGCUAAGCCUUUCUCCCUAGAAACUUAAGGACUGGAGAAUACUUAUGAUGCAGGGACCACACACUAAUUAUUCUGGAAUUAGUUACAGAUCCUCAAGGUACUACUAGCCCAACAGCUGGAAAGGAUCUUUAUCAGAGAAUCAAGGAUGUAUAAUCACUUAAUUAUUACAUUUCCGGACAUGUGGAAU